GAUGAACGCUGACAGAAUGCUUAACACAUGCAAGUCAUUGGCGAAGCUGCGCUUGCGCAGUCUAGCCAAGGCGGACGGGUGAGUAACGCGUAAGGAACUUGCCCUGCAGACAGGGAUAACAGACGGAAACGACUGAUAACACCAGGUAGUGUCAGACUGUCGCAUGCCGGCCUGAUGAAAGGAGACGCUGCAGGAGGGCCUUGCGUCCUAUUAGCUAGUUGGUGGGGUAACGGCCCACCAAGGCGAUGAUAGGUAGCCGGCCUGAGAGGGUGAACGGCCACAAGGGGACUGAGAUACGGCCCUUACUCCUACGGGAGGCAGCAGUGGGGAAUAUUGGACAAUGGGGGCAACCCUGAUCCAGCAAUUCUGUGUGCACGAAGAAGGUUUUCGGAUUGUAAAGUGCUUUCAGCAGGGAAGAAGAAAGUGACGGUACCUGCAGAAGAAGCGACGGCUAAAUACGUG
This 462-nucleotide ribosomal RNA is filed under the name uncultured bacterium. Its description in RNAcentral is "partial 16S ribosomal RNA". It matches the Rfam family "Bacterial small subunit ribosomal RNA", at positions 28 to 507 of the family's 1533-position model. The record is from RNAcentral.